This 253-nucleotide ribosomal RNA is filed under the name uncultured bacterium. Its description in RNAcentral is "partial 16S ribosomal RNA". It matches the Rfam family "Bacterial small subunit ribosomal RNA", at positions 524 to 776 of the family's 1533-position model. The record is from RNAcentral.
UACGUAGGUGGCAAGCGUUAUCCGGAUUUAUUGGGCGUAAAGGGAACGCAGGCGGUCUUUUAAGUCUGAUGUGAAAGCCUUCGGCUUAACCGGAGUAGUGCAUUGGAAGCUGGGAGACUUGAGUGCAGAAGAGGAGAGUGGAACUCCAUGUGUAGCGGUGAAAUGCGUAGAUAUAUGGAAGAACACCAGUGGCGAAAGCGGCUCUCUGGUCUGUAACUGACGCUGAGGUUCGAAAGCGUGGGUAGCAAACAGG